This 253-nucleotide ribosomal RNA is filed under the name uncultured bacterium. RNAcentral's name for it is "partial 16S ribosomal RNA". It matches the Rfam family "Bacterial small subunit ribosomal RNA", at positions 524 to 776 of the family's 1533-position model. The record is from RNAcentral.
GACAGAGGGGGCAAGCGUUGCUCGGAAUCACUGGGCGUAAAGGGCGCGUAGGCGGGAUGGCAAGUCGGUCGUGAAAUCCUUCGGCUCAACCGAAGAACGUCGGCCGAUACUGCCGUUCUUGAGGGAUGCAGAGGAGAUUGGAAUUCCCGGUGUAGCGGUGAAAUGCGUAGAUAUCUGGAGGAACACCGGUGGCGAAGGCGCGAUUCUGGUCCGUUACUGACGCUGAGGCGCGAAAGCCAGGGGAGCAAACGGG